RNAcentral lists this transfer RNA (72 nucleotides) under Candidatus Portiera aleyrodidarum (primary endosymbiont of Bemisia tabaci). Its description in RNAcentral is "tRNA-Gly (GCC) (tRNA-Gly-GCC-1-1)". It matches the Rfam family "tRNA". From Rfam's summary of the family: Transfer RNA (tRNA) molecules are approximately 80 nucleotides in length. Their secondary structure includes four short double-helical elements and three loops (D, anti-codon, and T loops). Lineage: Bacteria; Pseudomonadati; Pseudomonadota; Gammaproteobacteria; Johnevansiales (SeqCode); Johnevansiaceae (SeqCode). The record is from RNAcentral.
GCGGGAAUAGCUCAGCGGAAGAGUGUCACCGUGCCAAGGUGAAGGUCGCGAGUUCGAAUCUCGUUUCCCGCU